Molecule: transfer RNA, 63 nt
Filed under: Ixodes uriae (common seabird tick)
Lineage: Eukaryota; Metazoa; Arthropoda; Arachnida; Ixodida; Ixodidae
Rfam family: tRNA
About the family: Transfer RNA (tRNA) molecules are approximately 80 nucleotides in length. Their secondary structure includes four short double-helical elements and three loops (D, anti-codon, and T loops).
Source: RNAcentral
ACUAAUUUAGCAAAACUAUAAUGUAUCAAUUUUAGAAUUUGAAGAUGGUAAUACCAAUUAGUA